CCAGACUCCUACGGGAGGCAGCAGUGAGGAAUAUUGGUCAAUGGCCGAGAGGCUGAACCAGCCAAGUCGCGUGAGGGAUGACGGCCCUACGGGUUGUAAACCUCUUUUGCCGGGGAGCAAAGAGCGGGACGCGUCCCGCCUCGAGAGUACCCGGAGAAAAAGCAUCGGCUAACUCCGUGCCAGCAGCCGCGGUAAUACGGAGGAUGCGGGCGUUAUCCGGAUUUAUUGGGUUUAAAGGGUGCGUAGGCGGAUUUUUAAGUCAGCGGUAAAAUGUCCGGGCUCAACCCGGGCCGGCCGUUGAAACUGGGGAUCUUGAGUGGGCGAGAAGUAUGCGGAAUGCGUGGUGUAGCGGUGAAAUGCAUAGAUAUCACGCAGAACUCCGAUUGCGAAGGCAGCAUACCGGCGCCCGACUGACGCUGAGGCACGAAAGCGUGGGUAUCGAACAGGAUUAGAUACCCGAGUA
RNAcentral lists this ribosomal RNA (463 nucleotides) under uncultured bacterium. Its description in RNAcentral is "bacterial SSU rRNA". It matches the Rfam family "Bacterial small subunit ribosomal RNA", at positions 331 to 792 of the family's 1533-position model. The record is from RNAcentral.